UUGUAUGGAAUAUUAAGUUUGUGAAGUACAAAAAAUAGGAAAUAACAUAUCCAAUUAACUAAAAACAAAUUCAAAAUAUUCGUAUACAGUGAAACCUCUAAUUAUCGAUCAGCGUGAACUAAAGUUUGUUCCAAUGUUUAUAGUGAACAAUCGGUCAGACAAAUAAGAACCGUACACUUGUCACACCAAAAGUCUUCAGUUUGUGAUCUUGAUUGGACUCAGAUUUAGCAGAGUUUGUUGUAAAUGGACAGUGGCAAUGUUUGGGAAUACUAUCAUGAGUAAAAAGAUGGAAUAAUUCUCAAACUAGCUCUGAAUGUUAUUUUUGGAAAAGUAUUGUCCCGUUAUACUUUUUUUGUCUUGUCUCAGGAGAUUUCUAAUCAUACACUGAUAUGUACAACGCAUGGAUGACCGCUAAAUUUGACAGGACAUAUAUAUGUUUUCUCAUCUACAUGACACGAUAUUGAAUCUCAACAAUUUAUACUUGAAAUGUCAGCUAGUUGGCACAUUAUAACUGUAG
This 517-nucleotide long non-coding RNA is filed under the name Mytilus galloprovincialis (Mediterranean mussel). The record is from RNAcentral. Lineage: Eukaryota; Metazoa; Mollusca; Bivalvia; Mytilida; Mytilidae.